Molecule: ribosomal RNA, 163 nt
Filed under: Salvia angustiarum
Lineage: Eukaryota; Viridiplantae; Streptophyta; Magnoliopsida; Lamiales; Lamiaceae
Description: 5.8S ribosomal RNA
Rfam family: 5.8S ribosomal RNA
About the family: 5.8S ribosomal RNA (5.8S rRNA) is a component of the large subunit of the eukaryotic ribosome. It is transcribed by RNA polymerase I as part of the 45S precursor that also contains 18S and 28S rRNA. Functionally, it is thought that 5.8S rRNA may be involved in ribosome translocation.
Source: RNAcentral
AUAACGACUCUCGGCAACGGAUAUCUCGGCUCUCGCAUCGAUGAAGAACGUAGCGAAAUGCGAUACUUGGUGUGAAUUGCAGAAUCCCGUGAACCAUCGAGUCUUUGAACGCAAGUUGCGCCCGAAGCCAUUUGGCCGAGGCACGUCUGCCUGGGCGUCACGC